RNAcentral lists this ribosomal RNA (490 nucleotides) under uncultured bacterium. Its description in RNAcentral is "partial 16S ribosomal RNA". It matches the Rfam family "Bacterial small subunit ribosomal RNA", at positions 30 to 507 of the family's 1533-position model. The record is from RNAcentral.
AUUGAACGCUGGCGGCAGGCCUAACACAUGCAAGUCGAACGGUAACAGGAAGCAGCUUGCUGCUUCGCUGACGAGUGGCGGACGGGUGAGUAAUGUCUGGGAAACUGCCUGAUGGAGGGGGAUAACUACUGGAAACGGUAGCUAAUACCGCAUAACGUCGCAAGACCAAAGAGGGGGACCUUAGGGCCUCUUGCCAUCGGAUGUGCCCAGAUGGGAUUAGCUAGUAGGUGGGGUAACGGCUCACCUAGGCGGCGAUCCCUAGCUGGUCUGAGAGGAUGACCCGCCACACUUGAACUGAGACCCGGUCCCGACUCCUACGGGAGGCAGCAGUGGGGAAUAUUGCACAAUGGGCGCAAGCCUGAUGCAGCCAUGCCGCGUGUAUGAAGAAGGCCUUCGGGUUGUAAAGUACUUUCAGCGGGGAGGAAGGGAGUAAAGUUAAUACCUUUGCUCAUUGACGUUACCCGCAGAAGAAGCGCCGGCUAACUCCGUG